CAAAGUGGGCCCAAUUAUCUUCAUUUGCUUCGCUGUACACUCACCGACACUACCCACCAAUUACAACACUCCUUUACUGUGAUAUGCGUAACAUCUGAUAAUAACUCAACAAGUGGAACAUUAUUAUACACCAAAAAUAAGACAAAGGAUUUAAAAUAAAAACAAAGUACAGCAACAGAACAAAAGAAAAGAAAAGAAAAAACAGUGCCCUUUACUCAGAUAAACGGCUCACUCACUAUUAAAGGACAUUUAAAAAUUAAAUGAAAUUAAAUAAAAAUCGUCUCUACAAGCAAGUCACAAAUAAAAAUAUGACUCCAAAAACCCAAAUUUAAUUAAACAAACGGAAAAUGGCGGUUUAGGACAAAUAAACGGACACAAUUACCGAAACUGACACUGUGAGUAGAGCUUUCAGUAGCGCCGGAGUGUUAACGUUACCGGCGUUCUUCUUCGCCGUACUGUUCUCCGAAUCUGCAGUGGGACUAUCCGCCGGAGAACCAGCUGGAGAUGAAGUCGGUGGAGCAGGAGGAGACAUCAUUGGAGUAGGAGAGCUGGCUUCCGGAGCAGGGGCUGGUGCUGGUGUUGGAGAAGUCUCCGGAGCUGGUCCUGGUGCUGGGGAUGGAGCUUUUCCGUACAAUUCCACAGGUAGAAGCACACUGUCGACGGUGAAAAUGCAGAAGGGAGUAGAGUCAAUGACUGUGGAAGCGAUUCUGGACGAAUCGACACCUGUGUCAAGUGUCACCUGGUCACCUUCUGUUGAAACUGCCAGAUCAUACUUGCUAGCGCCAUUAGUAGCUAGAGUUGAAAUCGGAUCCUUCGUCGUUUUCAAGGUUCCAAUAGGAGUGUAACUCGGAAUAGCAUGGUACUGCAACAACGAAACAACAUCAGCGCUACUGAGAUCGCUCAGAUCUGGAACUUUAGCUCCCUUAAACGCCUCAUCAUUUGGGGCAAAAAUAGUCAAACCCUUCUCAAUAGCAGUUUGAUACGUCUUGAGAACUCCAGAUUUGACAAGUAAUGAAGCAAAUGUUUUACACCCAGCUUUCUCCAAUGCACCAGUAAUAUUAAAAUCACCAGAUGGCGCCGGUGCCGUCAAAAUACCCGGAGCAAUAAUCGGAGCACUAACUUCCAACACAGAGAUAUUAUACUGGAUUUGCUUCACAGAUUUAGUAUAUGUAGACGCCAAUGGUGAGUUCGGAAUAGCUGAACCAAAACCUACUUUACCACCUUUAAGAUCGGUAAUGUUAACAGAACCUAUGUUUCCAUGAGCAUUGCCGGUAGUUUGGUAAAGAGUAGUGGAAGUCGUAGUACCGUCGGAGAUCUUAUGAAGUUUAGUACCGUCAAAGUAAUCAAGCAAAACAUGAAGAGAGAGGACAUUUUUGAUGACGGAAAGUGGAUGUUUGUCGACUAUAGCAGACAUAGCUCCAUUAGGCAAAGCUAAAACGGUAAUAGUUUCACGGCUGUUAAUCUCGUCGGCGAGUUUAGUUUGUGAGAGAUAACUGUUGAAUACACUGUACUCCGGGAACUUGUUCAAAAUUUCAGUGAUGUUGUGUGCAUGAACGGAAACGGUAAGGAGAGUGAAGAGGAAGAAGUGUAGGGUAGUCAUGGUGUAUGUUAGCAAAG
RNAcentral lists this unclassified non-coding RNA (1617 nucleotides) under Hevea brasiliensis (rubber tree). Lineage: Eukaryota; Viridiplantae; Streptophyta; Magnoliopsida; Malpighiales; Euphorbiaceae. The record is from RNAcentral.